Molecule: ribosomal RNA, 427 nt
Filed under: uncultured bacterium
Lineage: Bacteria
Description: partial 16S ribosomal RNA
Rfam family: Bacterial small subunit ribosomal RNA
Source: RNAcentral
UGGGGAAUAUUGGACAAUGGGCGAAAGCCUGAUCCAGCCAUGCCGCGUGUGUGAAGAAGGUCUUCGGAUUGUAAAGCACUUUAAGUUGGGAGGAAGGGCAUUAACCUAAUACGUUAGUGUUUUGACGUUACCGACAGAAUAAGCACCGGCUAACUCUGUGCCAGCAGCCGCGGUAAUACAGAGGGUGCAAGCGUUAAUCGGAAUUACUGGGCGUAAAGCGCGCGUAGGUGGUUUGUUAAGUUGGAUGUGAAAUCCCCGGGCUCAACCUGGGAACUGCAUUCAAAACUGACUGACUAGAGUAUGGUAGAGGGUGGUGGAAUUUCCUGUGUAGCGGUGAAAUGCGUAGAUAUAGGAAGGAACACCAGUGGCGAAGUCGACCACCUGGACUAAUACUGACACUGAGGUGCGAAAGCGUGGGGAGCAAACA